CUGUGAGGAGGGAGGGAGAGCAGACAUCUGUGAGGAGGGAGGGAGAGCAGAGGUCUGUGAGGAGGGAGGGAGAGCAGAGAUCUGUGAGGAGGGAGGGAGAGCAGAGGUCUGUGAGGAGGGAGGGAGGGCAGACAUCUGUGAGGAGGGAGGGAGGGCAGACAUUUGUGAGGAGGGAGAGCAGAGAUCUGGGAAGAGCUAAACCAUGGCCACAUGGAGCUCGAGGUGCCCCUGCCAUACCCAGGUUUGCCAACUGUUGAACAAGAAACAGAAAGGACGGGACAGCACAAAGGAAUCAUGGGGAAUGACGAGCACCUGAGGGGUCUCUGUGCUGACGCUUCUGUCAUCUUCUCUCACUGAGUGUCCCUGCCACUGCGCCAGCUCAGGAUGCAGUGCAACCAGCGAGACCAAGUUCAACUAGGAGGAGCGCAGCUGCCUCUGUCCCAGCCCCAGCAUCACAGGUACCCAAAGGAAACAAAAACCCUUAGGUAUCUAAUGACAAGAGGAAUGGAGAGAAAGAAUUUGGUUUAUAUGGAAUUUUUUUGCGGCCAUAAAGGCAAAAUUAUGUCAUUUGCAAGAAAAUGGAUGCCGCUAGAAAUAGUCAUAUUAAGUAAAUUAAGUCAGUCUCAGAAAGACAAAUUUCAGUUUUCUCUUUUUGUGCUUCCUAGAUUUCAUGGAGAUAUAAAAUGAUGUAUAUAUGUAUACAUCACAUGAAGUAAAAUUGUCCAGGGAAAGAAAGGGACUAACGGGUGAAAGGGGACAGUGGAGACAUGGGGGAGGUUAGUACUCUAAGUAUAAUACUUGUAUGAAAAUUCCUCCAUGUGACAGGACAAUAUAUGGUGGAAAUACACAAUAAAAUCUUCUUUUAAUUUGCUUUAUGUUACGACUAUAAGUGCACAGCCCAACAAUAAAUUCUUCAGUUACAGCAUCAUGAGCUCUGCUGAUCUCUCUCCUCAGGUAUUACUAGGAACAGAGCGGUGGUAUUGGUCACGGGCCCUGCAACUCAUACCUGGAGAAUAUGGGCCUGUUUAGAGGGCUCCGUUCAGUCCCGGGGCAACUGGUAUCAAACACAGAGGAAAGCCUUCCAACUGAAGAGACCGGAAAGAAAUUGCAUUUAACUAAACAACUCCACACAGCAAUUCAGUGUGCAGUGCCACCUUGAUUGACAGGAGCAUUUGCAAUUAUUUUAAAAAUGAAAAAGAAAACCUCAUCAGAUGCAGCAGAAUCGUUGAUAGGACACUGACUUCAGCUGAUUUAUGAAGUAUGACCAUGCAGCGUUCAUAUGAAACAACUAUACUCCCAGCAUGUAAAUGAGCCCUAAGUGGGAGAGGGCACUUUCAAGGCUGACUGGAAGGGACCCCGAGGAGGCUCCUGGCUGUAGAGGAAAGCUGGCGAUAGAGAAACAGCAGGGUCAACAGGACAGCAAAAUCCCCUGAAAGCCACUUGAGGCUGGGAAGGGUGGGGCUCCGGGUUUCUUUACACAAGCAGACUGCCAUGGUUUCCAAAGAGAAGACCACGAUGUUACAAGGAAGGGAGUAAACAGACUAUGUCCACCAUGGCUCGUGCCCUUGGAACAAGCUCUGAACUUGUGAGCUGGUUUGCUGACUUGGAAUGAAAGGCUACCAUAUGCCUGCCUGUCUCCCAAGACUGCUGAGAGAAGGGAGCUGGAUGCUGGGUGUAGGAUUACCAGCAAGUGGGAAGGCACUUUAGACCCAAGAGACUGUGUGGCUAUGGUCACCAAGGAACGGCUGGGACUUGUCACCCAAGGACAGCCAGCAGCUUCUUAGGAAUAACUGCAGGUACAUACACGGUUUGAGAAAAGGAACCAGCUACUCUACAGUGAAAUGUUGAGGUAAGAAGACAGCUCCAUGAAACUGUUCACCAAGCAGACCAGAGGCUCACAUGAGAGGUCUGCCAGGCACAACCACAGUAAGACUGAAACAUCACAUCAGGCCGCCUCUUGUUCAACCCCAGUUCAAAACCAACCCUGUGCAGACAAAGGCCUCUGACGAGCGAGAAGAGAGCAAGCCAAGCAGAGAGGAGGCAUAUCCGCCAUCUUCCUAAGGAUGAGUAGU
Alexandromys fortis (reed vole) is the source of this 2072-nucleotide long non-coding RNA. RefSeq lists it as uncharacterized. Lineage: Eukaryota; Metazoa; Chordata; Mammalia; Rodentia; Cricetidae. The transcript is spliced from 3 exons. The record is from RefSeq and is a predicted model, not a curated record.